Long non-coding RNA from Canis lupus familiaris (dog), 934 nucleotides. RefSeq lists it as uncharacterized. The transcript is spliced from 2 exons. Lineage: Eukaryota; Metazoa; Chordata; Mammalia; Carnivora; Canidae. The record is from RefSeq and is a predicted model, not a curated record.
UCGAGCUUGUGUCCAAGUAUACCCGACGGAGCGGAGCAGGGACUUGGACCCCGAGGGGCCUGGGAUGGCUGGACGUGUUCGAAUGCUGAACUUAAAGCGGAAAGGCCUUCAUUUUCUCAGCCUCCUUGCAUCCCAUCCCAUCCUAUCUAGCUCCUUUCCCCUUCCCCGGACCUCCUGAGAGAGCAAUUGCAAAUGACCUCAGUGUGGCAGCGUGUGUUGGACAGGACCAGGGAUUUGGGAUCAGGAAGACCUGGGUUGCGUGCACCCCGGCUGUGCAGCGGGAUUCGAUGCUGCAGACUCUUAUUCCCUAAGGCUAUCUUGACAACUGACUUUUACAUAGAAAAGCUGUCCUUUAUGUUUAAAAGAUGAGGAGUGAGUCAAAGCCUUUUUUCUCUGCCCAUCUGAUUGCUCAGAUUCCAAUCUGAGAUGUAUUUCCUGUUAAUAAGGAUAAUUUACUAUCCAUAGUACUAUGGUUAAAAUAUUCUGACACAAGUAAUUCAGAGGGAUGAGGGUUUCUCGUCUCUUUCUUCCCAGCUCAGUCACUCCUCAGGAAAUGCAUCUUUAUGGAUUUGGAAAGAACUGAGAGACAUUAUUACCAAUGGUCCUAUUAUUAUGUGAAGGAUUCUUCCCUGAGAUUCUUCCCCUGUUUCAACUGACACUGAAACACUGAACUCUUUUGAAGACAAAUGUCAAGGAAAUAAAUGUUAUGCAUUGCUAAUUUUAAUUGCACUUGCAAUAUGGUGUCUAUUAUACUAAAAGUAUUUUUAUCUGAUUUUUGCUAUUUAUUAUCCGUUCCUGCUUUUGAGGUUAGGGAGGCAUUAUACGUGUUCAUAAGUGUUUUUAUUUCCUUCUGAUCUAAAAUUUUUACUUUGUUUCCAUCAAAGGAACUCUUUAAGAAUAAGGCAACAGUUAAUUAAACUAUUCUUAAAAUGUC